Molecule: ribosomal RNA, 257 nt
Filed under: uncultured bacterium
Lineage: Bacteria
Description: partial 16S ribosomal RNA
Rfam family: Bacterial small subunit ribosomal RNA
Source: RNAcentral
AACCUACGCGGGGCAGCAGUGGGGAAUAUUGGGCAAUGGGCGCAAGCCUGACCCAGCAACGCCGCGUGAAGGAAGAAGGCCCUCGGGUUGUAAACUUCUUUUAUCAGGGACGAAACAAAUGACGGUACCUGAUGAAUAAGCCACGGCUAACUACGUGCCAGCAGCCGCGGUAAUACGUAGGUGGCAAGCGUUAUCCGGAUUUACUGGGUGUAAAGGGCGUGUAGGCGGGUCUGCAAGUCAGAUGUGAAAUAUCAUGG